UUCCAAAUCCAAGUACUGAUACAAAUUUCAUUACAGAAGUCUUGCAAAGUACAAGUACUAAGCAUAGAAACAGGAUAUAUAAGCUGCACUAGCAGCUAACAACAACAACAGAACCAAACAGUAUCAUAGAACCAAGUUGAUGUGUUUCAAGAACCAAAUAUCUCAUGCAAUGCAGAAGAACUAAAAUUGUUCAAAUAUUAAAAAACAUAUUACACCUCUUCCUCCCGUUAUCUUCUUCGUCUUCAUCCUCGUCUUCCUCCUCGUCUUCUAAAAAAUAGGCAGAAAUGUUAGAUAGCUACAAUAGAUAGAACUGCCAAAAAUAUGGAAUUGAUGCAAAAACUAGCAAUUUAACUUCAAAACUCUGCUCCUGCCCUUAUAAUAAUCACACGAGCCUCACAUAUAAAUAGAGAAAAGUUCAAUGGAAUAAAACUAAUCAUUCAAGAGUAGAUAAAAGAUCAUCGGCACAUAUAAAAUCAUCAUAACGCCCCUGUUGAGAAGUAAUAAUAAACUAAUCACCACAAACUCAUGCACACAGUCAACUCAAGAAUAUCCCAAUAGUAAAUAAGUAUGAGUUUCAUACCUUCAUCUUGAUUUCUCUAACUCCUCUCUCGCACGACGGAGACACUUAUCUAUAGUCAUCAACAAAAAGCAAAAAAACACAAACAAAACAAAUUGGAAAAAAUACCCUUAAGAAAUCAUAUUUAGAAUAAUAAGAAACAGUACCUUUCAAUUCUAAGGCAUAUGCAUACUUGGCUUCAGCAUUCUUCAAGCCUUGCAACUCUCUCUUAGUACUAUAAUCAAGAGUGGUUUCUUGGAGGGCUUCUGCUCCUAGGCCUUUGGAUAUCAUUCACACUUUCAGUCAUACCAGCAGGGAUAGACAGCUUAUUCCUCCCCUUAAACAAAGUCGUCAAUUGUUCCUUAAACAACCAGUGGUCAACUCGUUCUUCUUUUUUCUUUAAUCUCCACUUAUCAUAAUAAAUUAAUAAUAAUAAUAAUUCUAAUUCUAAUUUCUAAAUACAAUAAAUCAAAACUAUACAAUUCUCUUAUAAAUGAACAAAAACACAAGACAAAGAAACAAACCUAUAAAGCACCAAUUUUUAUCAUGCAUGUCAUUUUUUUUUGAGCAACAAUAUAUUUAUUAAUAAAACCGCAAAACAUAAGGCAUGUUUUGAGAUUAAUCAGUUACAGAUGGAAACACCCAACACAGCCUUACAAUCACACCAGCCAGUUCGAUUAAUCUCGAAGAACACCAGCCAGUUUGAUUAAUCUCGAACAAUCAGACUUUCAAUUGCUAAAAAAAAAAAAUACCUCUUUUCUCUCUGUAGAACAGGAAGCUGCGGAUGAGGUUCCCAAUGAAGCUGCGGAUGAGGUCCUCCUCUUCAUAAUAAUGAUAUAGCAGGAAGAAAGGUAAGAAAUGUUAGACAAGAUUUGAUAUGAGAAUUAAAGAAUAUCGGUUCCCAAUGAACCUUUUUGCUGUUCCGCCUCUUGAGUGUGCCGCCAUUUGAACCGUAAAUCCCAUACCAUUUAUUACAAAGAAGAAAUUGAAAAAUGGAAAGAGAAGCCAAAGAAGAAAUUGAAGGAAUUGGAUCCUCUCC
This 1595-nucleotide long non-coding RNA is filed under the name Trifolium pratense (red clover). RNAcentral's name for it is "long non-coding RNA (TPRA_LNC013581)". Lineage: Eukaryota; Viridiplantae; Streptophyta; Magnoliopsida; Fabales; Fabaceae. The record is from RNAcentral.